CCUACGGGUGGCAGCAGUAAGGAAUAUUGGUCAAUGGACGCAAGUCUGAACCAGCCAUGCCGCGUGGAGGAUGAAGGUCCUCUGGAUUGUAAACUUCUUUUAUUUAGGAAGAAACUCCCGAUUUCCAUCGGGAUUGACGGUACCAGAUGAAUAAGCACCGGCUAACUCCGUUCCAGCAGCCGCGGUAAUCCGGAGGGUGCAAGCGUUAUCCGGUUUCAAUGGUGCGUAGGGGUGCAUGUAUGUCAGUGUAGAAAUCUCCGGGCUUAACCCGGAAACUGCCAUUGAUACUAUUUGUCUUGAAUACUCUGGAGGUGAGCGGAAUAUGUCAUGUAGCGGUGAAAUGCUUAGAUAUGACAUAGAACACCCAUUGCGAAGGCAGCUCACUACGGAAAUAUUGACGCUGAGGCACGAAAGCGUGGGGAUCAAACAGGAUUAGAUACCCCUGUAGUC
Molecule: ribosomal RNA, 450 nt
Filed under: uncultured bacterium
Lineage: Bacteria
Description: partial 16S ribosomal RNA
Rfam family: Bacterial small subunit ribosomal RNA
Source: RNAcentral